AGCCUUGCUCACGGACCGCGUCCUGAUGCUGGUGAUAAUGGUGGUGACAGUGAGUGACUGCCUGCCUGAAGGUUCCUGUAGUGGGUGGGAAGUGCUUAGCUCUGGAGUCAGAAAUCCUGGAUCUGCUGCUUAUUAGCUGCCUGACCCGGGAAAAUUACUAAAUUAAGCUCUCUGAGUCUCUCUUUUCUCACUCAUUUGAGGAGAAAGCACAGUGCUGGGUAUUUCGCAGACCUUCCUGACAUUUUAGUUUCUGCCCUUUCCUGCAGGAGGCUCUGAGGCCAGCAGGGCUGAAAGCCUGCUCUGCAUUCACUAAGUGUGUGACCUCGGUUUUUAACCUUACAGAUUAGAAGCAUGAGAUACAUUCACCUUGUUCGGCCACCAUCACCACUACCCUUCUCCAGAGCUCUUUUCUUCCUACAAAACAGAAACUCUGUAUCCACAGUUGAGGUUGGAGGGAGAACCAGCUAAUCAAGCCUGCAUUACAAGAAGAAGCUCCAACUGCUUGGCACUAGCACUCGAGGAGAGGCUUCAGGCAUCAAACACCUACCGUCCUCUGAUUCCUUCACAAUUGUGGCCUCGUUGUUUAUGGGGAGUCUAAUAAAAAGCAAGGGAUUGCUGAUUAGCUGAAGUUUCCCUUGGACGGGAUCAAAGUAAAUCUUUCAGAUUUAUACAACC
This is a long non-coding RNA of Herpailurus yagouaroundi (jaguarundi), 675 nucleotides long. RefSeq lists it as uncharacterized. Lineage: Eukaryota; Metazoa; Chordata; Mammalia; Carnivora; Felidae. The transcript is spliced from 3 exons. The record is from RefSeq and is a predicted model, not a curated record.